Molecule: long non-coding RNA, 3348 nt
Organism: Oncorhynchus nerka (sockeye salmon)
Lineage: Eukaryota; Metazoa; Chordata; Actinopteri; Salmoniformes; Salmonidae
Exons: 2
Source: RefSeq, a predicted model, not a curated record
AUCAACAAAUAGUAUAGAAGUUAUGAGAAAUGUUACCUUACAUCCUUGCCAAUUCUAGACAGCAUCAAUGGUAUGGAAUAGCUGUUGACACAAUAGUAUACCGUUGAGCAUUGACAGUAGCUAAACUAACCACCUCUUUUCCUUCUAUCACUCUCUCAGGUGAAGGAGAUCUCACUGGAGGCCACAGGAGCUUUGUGAAGCCAGUGCGACACAAUCACUGUUAAUCACUGUUGUCAAGCUGGAGAGGUCAAGGACCCGACUCAGCAUCACGGAGCCUGUUAUGGUUUGUGACCCUGUGUUACUCAGCACAGUGAGGGGCAAGAAGCAGGAGUGGACUGGGUCAGGCAGGAGUGGUUCUGAGCCAGGCGGCUAGUUGGUCCUGGCAGCAAGAAAGAAAGAAGAACAUGAAGAUAUAUCCAACGUACUGUAUGGUGCAGUGGGAUAUACUUAAAAGGACUUCAGUUUGUGCUUAACAAUCCAAUCUAAUGUUACUUUGUGCAUAUCCCCACAAUAUGUGAUAAGGUUUACAGAAAAAAAGUAUACCGUUUUUGUUUUAAAGUAAUCUCUUUAUGUCAUAAUUACUUAAGACUAACUAUCCUUGUUAGCUCAUUGAAUAGCAUCUGAACCUAUGUUGAAGUGUAUUUAAUUUACUGCCAAUCUGGAUAUGCCUUGUUUGACACUCUUUCUGCAUAUGAAUGAGGGAGUUUGAUUAAGAUGAACCAGCGUGCACCAGGACAUGGCUCAUGAUUUGAACGGGCGAAAGCGGUGCGAGAGGAAAGCCCUGCUCAAAUAGAACCGUAAUCUGCGCCACCAGGUCAUAUUGCCAACAAGGCAGCAUGGUGCAUUGUUCAGGAACAUGCAACAUACAUUGUUAAAUAAAUACUUUUCUGACUGGUUUAAUAAGGCAGAUAAAGUACGUAUGCGUUUCAAACACUUUGCAUGUGUUGUAAUCAUUAUUCCACGUGCUUAGCAUACGUCACUUUGUUUUGAGAUGACUUUGCCAUGUCACCCUGUUCACGCCCAGGAGGCAGCCCGGUUUCACAACGAAUGCAAUCACUUUUCACCUGGUGAAAUCUCCACCUUCCUGGGCACAUGUGCCAGCAUAAUCAAAUCCCCUCAUUGGGACUUAAAAUCGGAUCCUGGGGUCCGGCAAAAUUCAGGCAGUUAUACAAUCAUUACAAUACAUUCAUUACAGAAUUCACAACACACUAAGUGUGUGCCCUCAGGCCCAUACUCCACUACCACAUAUCUACAAUGCAAAAUCCAUGUGUAUGUGUGUGUAUAGUGGUUAUGUUAUCAUGUGUGUGUAUGCAUGCGUCUGUGCCUAUGUUUGUUUUACUUCACAGUCCCCGCUAUUCCAUAAGGUGUAUUUUACCUGCUUUUUAAAUCUGAUUCUACCGCUUGCAUCAGUUACCUGAUGUGGAAUAGAGUUCCAUGUAGUGAUGGCUCUGUGUAGUACUGUGCGCCUCCCAUAGUCUGUUCUGGACUUGGGGAUUGUGAAGAGACCUCUGGUGGCAUGUCUUGUGGGGUAUGCAUGGGUGUCUGAGCUGUGUGCGAGUAUUUUAAACAGACAGCUCGGUCCCUUCAGCUUGUCAACACCUCUUACAAAAACAAGUAAUGAGGAAGUCAAUCUCUCUUCCUCUUUGAGCCAGGAGAGAUUGACAUGCAUGUCAUUAAUGUUAGCUCUCCGUGUACUUUUAAGGGCCAGCCGUGCUGCCCUGUUCUGAGCCAACUGCAAUUUUCCCAAGUCCCUCUUUGUGGCACCUGACCACACGACUGAACAGUAGUCCAGGUGCGACAAAACCAGGACCUGCAGGACCUGCCUUGUAGAUAGUGUUGUUAAGAAGGCAGAGCUGUGUGUUAUUAUGGAAAGACUUCUCCCCAUCUUAGCUACUGUUGUAUCAAUAUGUUUUGACCAUGACAGUUUACAAUCCAGGGUAACUCCAAGCAGUUUAGUCACCACAACUUGCUCAAUGUCCACAUUAUUCAUUACGAGAUGUAGUUGAGGUUUAGUGAAUGAUUUGUCCCAAAUACAACGCUUUUAGUUUUGGAAAUAUUUAGGACUAACUUAUUCCUUGCCACCCAUUCCGAAACUAACUGCAGCUCUUUGUUAAGUGUUGCAGUCAUUUCAGUCGCUGUAGUAGGUGACGUGUAUAGUGUUGAGUCAUCCGCAUACAUAGACACACUAACCUUACUCAAAGCCAGUGGCAUGUCGUUAGUAAAGAUAACGUUUAGAUGGGCCAUAUAACUGUUUUUUUUCUCCAGAAAAUCUGCAAUCCAAAUGAACCUAUCCCAGCCACCAUCUUUUUUUGGGGAAGCCCAAUUGAUUCUGAAUUCAGGCAUUUCAAAUGUGUUGUUAUGCUCAGACUUCAUGAUGUAAGGACUAAGGCAGGGGUGUCAAACUCAAUUCCUGGAGGGGCGAGUGUCGGUUUAUUAGCAUCCUUUACUCAUGCUGCCAAACAUACCCUUGUAAAACUGACCAUCCUACCAAUCCUCGACUUCUGCGAUGUCAUUUAUAAAAAUAGCCUCCAAUACCCUACUCAACAAAUUGGAUGCAGUCUAUCACAGUGCCAUCCGUUUUGUCAACAAAGCCCCAUAUACUACCCACCAUUGUGACCUGUACACUCUCGUUGGCUGGCCCUCGCUUCAUACUCGUUGCCAAAACCACUGGCUCCAUGUCAUCUACAAGACCCUGCUAGGUAAAGUCCCCCCUUAUCUCAGCUCGCUGGUCACCAUAGUAUCAGCCACCUGUAGCACGCACUCCAGCAGGUAUAUCUCUCUGGUCACCCCCAAAACCAAUUAUUUCUUUGGCCGCCUCUCCUUCCAGUUCUCUGCUGCCAAUGACUGGAACGAACUACAAAAAUCUCUGAAACUGGAAACACUUAUCUCCCUCACUAGCUUUAAGCACCAGCUGUCAGAGUAGCUCACAGAUUACUGCACCUGUACAUAGCCCACCUAUAAUUUAGCCUAAACAACUACAUCUUUCCCUACUGUAUUUAUUUUGCUCCCCAUUAUUUUUAUUUCUACUUUGCACAUUCUUCCACUGCAAAUCUAUCAUUCCAGUGUUUUACUUGCUAUAUUGUAUUUACUUUGCCACCAUGGCCUUUUUUUGCCUUUACCUCCCUUAUCUCACCUCAUUUGCUCACAUCGUAUAUAGACUUGUUUCUACUGUAUUAUUGACUGUAUGUUUGUUUUACUCCAUGUGUAACUCUGUGUCGUUGUAUGUGUCGAACUGCUUUGCUUUAUCUUGGCCAGGUCGCAAUUCUAAAUGAGAACUUGUUCUCAACUUGCCUACCUGGUUAAAUAAAGGUGAAAUAAUAAAUAAAUAAAAUUAGUUUGGAACGCUCA